ACAUCCAGCGAAUUCGGUAGAGAUACCUUAGUGCCUUCGGGAACGCUGAGACAGGUGCUGCAUGGCUGUCGUCAGCUCGUGUUGUGAAAUGUUGGGUUAAGUCCCGCAACGAGCGCAACCCUUAUCCUUUGUUGCCAGCGGUCCGGCCGGGAACUCAAAGGAGACUGCCAGUGAUAAACUGGAGGAAGGUGGGGAUGACGUCAAGUCAUCAUGGCCCUUACGAGUAGGGCUACACACGUGCUACAAUGGCGCAUACAAAGAGAAGCGACCUCGCGAGAGCAAGCGGACCUCAUAAAGUGCGUCGUAGUCCGGAUUGGAGUCUGCAACUCGACUCCAUGAAGUCGGAAUCGCUAGUAAUCGUAGAUCAGAAUGCUACGGUGAAUACGUUCCCGGGCCUUGUACACACCGCCCGUCACACCAUGGGAGUGGGUUGCAAAAGAAGUAGGUAGCUUAACCUUCGGGAGGGCGCUUACCACUUUGUGAUUCAUGACUGGGGUGAAGUCGUAACAAGGUAAGCGUAGAUGA
This 525-nucleotide ribosomal RNA is filed under the name uncultured bacterium. RNAcentral's name for it is "bacterial SSU rRNA". It matches the Rfam family "Bacterial small subunit ribosomal RNA", at positions 984 to 1509 of the family's 1533-position model. The record is from RNAcentral.